This 492-nucleotide ribosomal RNA is filed under the name uncultured bacterium. RNAcentral describes it as "partial 16S ribosomal RNA". It matches the Rfam family "Bacterial small subunit ribosomal RNA", at positions 29 to 507 of the family's 1533-position model. The record is from RNAcentral.
AGUGAACGCUGGCGGUAGGCCUAACACAUGCAAGUCGAACGGCAGCACAGUAAGAGCUUGCUCUUACGGGUGGCGAGUGGCGGACGGGUGAGGAAUACAUCGGAAUCUACUUUUUCGUGGGGGAUAACGUAGGGAAACUUACGCUAAUACCGCAUACGACCUACGGGUGAAAGCAGGGGAUCUUCGGACCUUGCGCGAUUGAAUGAGCCGAUGUCGGAUUAGCUAGUUGGCGGGGGAAAGGCCCACCAAGGCGACGAUCCGUAACUGGUCUGCGAGGGUGAUCAGGCCCAAUGGAACCGAGACACCGUCCCGGAUCCCGAGGGGAGGAGGAGUGGGGAAUAAUUGACAAUGGGCGGAAACCUGGUCCAGCCAUUCCGGGUGGGUGAAGAAGGCCUUCGGGUUGUAAAGCCCUUUUGUUGGGAAAGAAAAGCAGCAGGUUAAUACCCCGCUGUUCUGACGGUACCCAAAGAAUAAGCACCGGCUAACUUCGUG